GACGAACGCUGGCGGCGUGCUUAACACAUGCAAGUCGAACGAGAAUCUGCGGAAAGAGGAUUCGUCCAAUUGAAGCAGAGGACAGUGGCGGACGGGUGAGUAACGCGUGAGGAACCUGCCUUUCAGAGGGGGACAACAGUUGGAAACGACUGCUAAUACCGCAUGACACAUUGGGGUCGCAUGGCCCUGAUGUCAAAGAUUUAUCGCUGAAAGAUGGCCUCGCGUCUGAUUAGCUAGUUGGUGAGGUAACGGCCCACCAAGGCGACGAUCAGUAGCCGGACUGAGAGGUUGAACGGCCACAUUGGGACUGAGAUACGGCCCAGACUCCUACGGGAGGCAGCAGUGGGGAAUAUUGGGCAAUGGGCGCAAGCCUGACCCAGCAACGCCGCGUGAAGGAAGAAGGCUUUCGGGUUGUAAACUUCUUUUGUCAGGGACGAGUAGAAGACGGUACCUGACGAAUAAGCCACGGCUAACUACGUGCCAGCAGCCGCGGUAAUACGUAGGUGGCAAGCGUUGUCCGGAUUUACUGGGUGUAAAGGGCGUGUAGCCGGGAGGGCAAGUCAGAUGUGAAAUCCACGGGCUUAACUCGUGAACUGCAUUUGAAACUGUUCUUCUUGAGUAUCGGAGAGGCAAUCGGAAUUCCUAGUGUAGCGGUGAAAUGCGUAGAUAUUAGGAGGAACACCAGUGGCGAAGGCGGAUUGCUGGA
Molecule: ribosomal RNA, 706 nt
Filed under: uncultured Lachnospiraceae bacterium
Lineage: Bacteria; Bacillati; Bacillota; Clostridia; Lachnospirales; Lachnospiraceae
Description: bacterial SSU rRNA
Rfam family: Bacterial small subunit ribosomal RNA
Source: RNAcentral